UACAGUUCUGUUUAAAGCUGU
Molecule: non-coding RNA, 21 nt
Filed under: Caenorhabditis elegans
Lineage: Eukaryota; Metazoa; Nematoda; Chromadorea; Rhabditida; Rhabditidae
Source: RNAcentral